This 254-nucleotide ribosomal RNA is filed under the name uncultured bacterium. RNAcentral's name for it is "partial 16S ribosomal RNA". It matches the Rfam family "Bacterial small subunit ribosomal RNA", at positions 524 to 776 of the family's 1533-position model. The record is from RNAcentral.
AACGUAGGUGACGAGCGUUAUCCGGAUUUACUGGGCGUAAAGCGUGUGCAGGUUGGUUCACAAGUGGUGUAUGAAAGCUGUCGGCUUAACCGACCAGAGGGUAUGCCAGACUGUGAGCCUAGAGGCAGCCAGAGGGACAUGGAAUUCCGGGUGUAGUGGUGAAAUGCGUAGAGAUCCGGAGGAACCCCAGAGGCGAAGGCGGUGUCCUGGGGCUGACCUGACACUCAGACACGAAAGCAUGGGGAGCGAACGGG